Molecule: long non-coding RNA, 493 nt
Organism: Nannospalax galili (Upper Galilee mountains blind mole rat)
Lineage: Eukaryota; Metazoa; Chordata; Mammalia; Rodentia; Spalacidae
Exons: 3
Source: RefSeq, a predicted model, not a curated record
CUGAAGUGAGAUGGGACACAGGCUGCAGAAGUCAAGUCACAGAGAUAUAUGCCUUGCUGAUGGUUGAUGGGCUAAAUUCUAGGUCUUUCCAACCUAGAUCCACACUCUUUUGGCAGCAGGCCUGGUCACUAAAAGCAACCCAGAUUAUCAGUCAGGGUCAGAAAAAUGGCUCGGCAGGUGAAGGUGCCUGUCCCCAAGCACAAUGACUUGAGUUUGAUACCCAGAACCUACAUGGUAAAAUGAAGGAACCAACUCCAGCAAGCUGUCCUCUGACUUCCACAGGCUUCAACGAGGCUGAUGGUAUCCGACGAUGUCCUUGCCACUGUUGUCCACUGCAAGGUGUACAUUGUGGAGAAGGCCAUUGGUUUGCCUCAAGAGCUGGAGAAAUUUCUCAGCAAUCAGAUUAAGUUCAGAAGCCAGCCAUUGGGUUUCUUCUAUAACAACCACAUGAGGAACAUUGAGACACAAGGGUAAUGAGGAAAAUCCUUUAACA